AAAACUACCUACCCAAAUGAUGCAUUAAAGGUUGAGAAGUACUUCGCAUGCCCCUUUUGGAAGUGCAAGCUCGACAAGAAGCUAGAGGUGGCGGCGGCCGUGAGAUGCAAAUGAAAGCUACAAUGGGGGAAAAGCUUGCUGAAUUGAAGCCGAAGAAGAAUGUUGAGAUUGUUGUUGAGCAUGAUGAAUAGGACGUUGAGAGGGAAUUCAUAAAGAACUCAAGGAUAAUUACAUAGCAAUGUUGACUCGAAAAAUGUAGGAUUUGCAAAGAGGGAUGAUUUUGUGAAUGAUAUGACCAGAAAUUUAUAGGCUCCGUUGGGGGCUCCCUAUACUCCGCGGCAAUCUGCAUUGCGCGACGCAGUGUAAGGAGCCCCUAACAGUCGGUCCGUCGAUGGGCUUCGUGUCAACUUCUGUUGUGUUGUAGUGUCCCGUAUGAAGUUUGCUAAUGGCACUAUCAUGUUCUUGUGCGUCUCUAAUGAGGCCAUCACA
RNAcentral lists this long non-coding RNA (489 nucleotides) under Linum usitatissimum (flax). Its description in RNAcentral is "long non-coding RNA (LUSI_LNC006033)". The record is from RNAcentral. Lineage: Eukaryota; Viridiplantae; Streptophyta; Magnoliopsida; Malpighiales; Linaceae.